UGAAUACGAAAUGCUACGGCAUUGAAGCAGUCUAUGUCAUACUUCCAAGAAAAGCUUGCACUGUCAUAAAUAAAUAAUGCCUGUACCAUAACCGACACAGGUGGGUAGGUAGAGUAUACUAAGGGGCGCGAGAUAACUCUCUCUAAGGAACUCGGCAAAAUAACUCCGUAACUUCGGGAGAAGGAGUACCUUAUUUUUAAGGUUGCAAUAACAAGAUCCAAGCAACUGUUUAUCAAAAACACAGGUCUCCGCUAAGUCGUAAGACGAUGUAUGGGGGCUGACGCCUGCCCAGUGCCAGAAGGUUAAAGAAGUUGGUUAGCAUUAGCGAAGCUGAUAACUGAAGCCCUGGUGAACGGCGGCCGUAACAAUAACGGUCCUAAGGUAGCGAAAUUCCUUGUCGGGUAAGUUCCGACCCGCACGAAAGGCGUAAUGAUUUGGAUACUGUCUCGGAGAGGGGCUCGGUGAAAUAGACUUGUCUGUGAAGAUGCGGACUACCUGCACCUGGACAGAAAGACCCUAUGAAGCUUUACUGUAACUUGAAAUUGAAACUGGACUUUAUUUGCGCAGUAUAGGUGGGAGGCUAUGAGAUUAUUUUUACGGAAAUAAUGGAGCCAUCAGUGAGAUACCACUCUUGUAAUGUUAGGUUUCUAACUUUGUAUCAUUAUCUGGUCAAAGAACAGUUUCAGGCGGGCAGUUUGACUGGGGCGGUCGCCUCCCAAACGGUAACGGAGGCGCACAAAGGUUUCCUCUGAACGGGUAGAAAUCGUAUCUAGAGUGUAAAGGCAUAAGGAAGCUUGACUGUGAGACCUACAAGUCGAGCAGGGACGAAAGUCGGUCUUAGUGAUCUGACGGUGCUGAGUGGAAAGGCCGUCACUCAACGGAUAAAAGUUACUCUAAGGAUAACAGGCUGAUCUCCCCCAAGAGUUCACAUCGACGGGGAGGUUUGGCACCUCGAUGUCGGCUCAUCGCAUCCUGGGGCGGUAGUACGUCCCAAGGGUUGGGCUGUUCGCCCAUGAAAGCGGUACGCGAGCUGGGUUCAGAACGUCGUGAGACAGUUCGGUCCAUAUCCGGUGUAGGCGUUAGAAUAUUGAGAGGAUCCUUCUUUAGUACGAGAGGACCAAGAAGGACAUACCUCUGGUGUACCAGUUAUCGUGCCAACGGUAAACGCUGGGUAGCUAUGUAUGGAAUUGAUAACCGCUGAAAGCAUCUAAGUGGGAAGCAAACCUCAAGAUAAGUAUUCUCU
This 1243-nucleotide ribosomal RNA is filed under the name metagenome. RNAcentral describes it as "bacterial LSU rRNA". It matches the Rfam family "Bacterial large subunit ribosomal RNA", at positions 1564 to 2816 of the family's 2925-position model. The record is from RNAcentral.